ACAGGUACCCCAGAACUUAAAAUAAAUGUUGAAGGAAAAAAGAAAAGUAGGGGAAGGACAUUCUUGGCAGAAGGAACAGCCUGAGCACAAGCACAGAGGAGAGAAACAGCUUGCUGUUUUGGAGACAAGUACUAUCAUGUCACCAGAGGUGCCGCCUGUCAACAAAACCCAACCAGUAGCCGGAGGACACUGGAACCGUUCUAAUGAUUUCAUACUGAAAGAGAAAAAAUAAGUCACAAGACCAGUGAUCUCCAUGGCUGGAUUGGCUCCAAGAGAAAAAAUCCAUGACAAGAAUAGCUGGGAGUUGAGUCACUGUGCCCAGAAGUUCUGCAAACAUGAUUCAGGAGAGAUGGAAACCAAGGCACAGAACUACUGUGACUUUCCCAGAACCUCAGACCUAGACUGGUUUGCACCUUGAACUUGAUUCCAGGAUAUGGAUUCAUGAAAUGUUAGUCAUCAUAUUUCAUACUGAGAAAGGUCCUGGAAGGAUCAUCCAGACCAACGAUUUUUAUUUCUCUGAGCAUAAAACUGAGACCUGUUUUAUGAUUUAUCUAAUAUCACAAACAGUUGGUGACAGAAGUAGGAAAUACAGCUGAGGCCAAAACUCAUUCUGAACAGCAAAUGAAAACAGAUACUUUUGGCCGGGCAUGGUGGCUCAUGCGUGUAAUCUCAGCACUUUGGGAGGCUGAGGCAGGCAGAUUACCUGAGAUUGAGAGUUUGAGACCAGCCUGACCAACAUGGAGAAACCCCGUCUCUGCUAAAAAUACAAAAAAAUUAGCCGGGCAUGGUGGUGCAUGCCUAUAAUCCCAGCUACUCAGGAGGCUGAGGCAGGAGAAUCGCUUGAACCCAGGAGGCAGAGGUUGCGGUGAGCCGAGAUCGUGCCAUUGCACUCCAGCCUGGGUAACAAGAGCGAAACUCCGUCUC
This 924-nucleotide long non-coding RNA is filed under the name Homo sapiens (human). Its description in RNAcentral is "HSALNT0166053". Lineage: Eukaryota; Metazoa; Chordata; Mammalia; Primates; Hominidae. The record is from RNAcentral.